CUUCGGCCCGAGUUGUAAUUUGCAGAGGAUGUUUAUGGUGCGGUACCUUCCGAGUUCCCUGGAACGGGACGCCACAGAGGGUGAGAGCCCCGUCUGGUUGGAUACCAAACCUGUGUUAAACUCCUUCAACGAGUCGAGUAGUUUGGGAAUGCUGCUCUAAAUGGGAGGUAAAUCUCUUCUAAAGCUAAAUACCGGCCAGAGACCGAUAGCGCACAAGUAGAGUGAUCGAAAGAUGAAAAGCACCUUGAAAAGGGGGUUAAACAGUACGUGAAAUUGUUGAAAGGGAAGCGAUUAUGACCAGACUUGUGCCGUGUGGCUCAUCCGAGGUUCUCCCCGGUGCACUCCACACGGUUCAGGCCAACAUCGGUUUUCGUCGGGGGAUAAGAAUAGUAGGAACGUGGCUUUCUUCGGAGAGUGUUAUAGCCUAUUAUACGAUACCCUGACGGGGACCGAGGACCGCGCUUCGGCAAGGAUGUUGGCGUAAUGGUCAUUACCGACCCGUCUUGAAACACGGACCAAGGAGUCGUCCAUUAGAGCGAGCGUUUGGGUGUAAAACCCGCACGCGUAAUGAAAGUGAAAUUAGGUGAGAGCUUCGGCGCAUCAUCGACCGAUCCUGAAGUUUACGGAUGGAUUUGAGUAAGAGUUUUAACGGACGGACCCGAAAGACAGUGAACUAUGCUUGAAUAGGGUGAAGCCAGAGGAAACUCUGGUGGAGGCUCGCAGCGGUUCUGACGUGCAAAUCGAUCGUCAAAUUUGAGCAUGGGGGCGAAAGACUAAUCGAACUGUUAGCUACUAGGCAGUUAAAAGUCUCCCAGUAAUGGGAGGCUAGUGGGCACCUACAGCGUGCCCGCGACACCGUCAAAUUGCGGGGACCUCCUGUUAAAUGUACAGUACCGCGGCUUUUUCGAAAGAUUAAGUGCAGCACCAGGUGUAAUGGCCUGGGUAUGGUAAUAAACUGUUUACAUAGGGACAAUCCGCAGCCAAGCCCUAAAGCUCUUUUACAGAGCCAUGGGUGCAGUUCACAGACUAGACGUCGGUGGGCCUUUAGGGGCUUAAGAUAUAGUCGAGACCCCCUAGUAAUAGGUGGGAUUACUUCUAG
Molecule: ribosomal RNA, 1099 nt
Filed under: Gnomonia cf. ischnostyla BPI 877625
Lineage: Eukaryota; Fungi; Ascomycota; Sordariomycetes; Diaporthales; Gnomoniaceae
Description: eukaryotic LSU rRNA
Rfam family: Eukaryotic large subunit ribosomal RNA
Source: RNAcentral